CAUGCUAGAGUUUUGAGAAUACAGGCUUUGGGGGCUUGAGGGUACAGUAGUGUGA
This 55-nucleotide transfer RNA is filed under the name Macracanthorhynchus hirudinaceus (giant thorny-headed worm). RNAcentral describes it as "transfer RNA-Pro". The record is from RNAcentral. Lineage: Eukaryota; Metazoa; Acanthocephala; Archiacanthocephala; Oligacanthorhynchida; Oligacanthorhynchidae.